ACGACUUUACUUGAACAGGAUCUGUUCUAUAGGAUCGUACUACUAUUCCCUUAAGUAUUAAGGAGACUAGUAAACAAGUCUGGUGGAUGAAAUAUUACUUCUUGAUCAGAGCAUGAUUAAUGAUUUAGAUGGAUUUCCCAUCAUAAAUUAUAGAGGACCGUUCCCAUAUAUGUUCAAAUGAAUUAAUGAUCUUGGAGUUUUCUGACAGAUU
This 211-nucleotide small nucleolar RNA is filed under the name Zostera marina. RNAcentral describes it as "Plant small nucleolar RNA U3". It matches the Rfam family "Plant small nucleolar RNA U3". Rfam says of the family: Small nucleolar RNAs (snoRNAs) are involved in the processing and modification of rRNA in the nucleolus. There are two main classes of snoRNAs: the box C/D class, and the box H/ACA class. U3 snoRNA is a member of the box C/D class. The record is from Rfam by way of RNAcentral. Lineage: Eukaryota; Viridiplantae; Streptophyta; Magnoliopsida; Alismatales; Zosteraceae.